This 404-nucleotide long non-coding RNA is filed under the name Mytilus galloprovincialis (Mediterranean mussel). The record is from RNAcentral. Lineage: Eukaryota; Metazoa; Mollusca; Bivalvia; Mytilida; Mytilidae.
GGUGUCUUCAGGAUUUUCUCAUCUGAUGAAUUUUCUACCCUUUUCAGUCACUAUAAAGUGUUACAACUUAAAUUUAGACGCAACACAUAAAUAGUAAUUGGAAAGGUACUGCCAUUGCAUGUGUUAUGCAGAAACUAAUUUAAAAUCGAUGCGUACAAUCGUGAAAUUAUGAGGUCGUCAAGAAAUGAACUUUGUGAUAAUCUACUCGUUCCCCAAACCUGAAAUAGUUCUAUCGUCUGCUUUCAAAAUACCUUGUAAAUGAAUGUGACCGUCUUUCGCCUGAAAUAUAUAUGCCAUACUGACAUUUUCAGCAUGUUUAAGACAACUGCGUCUUCAAAACAACUGUUUACUUUCAGUUUGUGUUUAUCGUGACUUUCGAUGUAAAAUCUAGAGACGUUCCGAAA